CUCCCUGGGAGGGCACAGAUGAUGGUGGGAGAGGAGCCCCACUGUGGAAGUCUGACCCUCACAUCGCCCCACUUUCCCUAG
MicroRNA precursor from Chlorocebus sabaeus (green monkey), 81 nucleotides. The record is from Ensembl. Lineage: Eukaryota; Metazoa; Chordata; Mammalia; Primates; Cercopithecidae.